This 257-nucleotide ribosomal RNA is filed under the name uncultured Glomus. RNAcentral's name for it is "partial 18S ribosomal RNA". It matches the Rfam family "Eukaryotic small subunit ribosomal RNA", at positions 624 to 886 of the family's 1831-position model. Lineage: Eukaryota; Fungi; Glomeromycota; Glomeromycetes; Glomerales; Glomeraceae. The record is from RNAcentral.
AAGCUCGUAGUUGAAUUUCGGGAUCAAUUUGUUGGUCGUGCCUCGGUACGUACUGGCAUUAUUGGUUUCUACCUUCUGAAGAACCUUGAUGUCAUUAAUUUGGUGUCUUGGGGAAUCAGGACUGUUACUUUGAAAAAAUUAGAGUGUUUAAAGCAGGCAUACGCUUGAAUACAUUAGCAUGGAAUAAUGAAAUAGGACGUUUGAUUCUAUUUUGUUGGUUUCUAGGAUCGACGUAAUGAUUAAUAGGGAUAGUUGGG